This 253-nucleotide ribosomal RNA is filed under the name uncultured bacterium. RNAcentral describes it as "partial 16S ribosomal RNA". It matches the Rfam family "Bacterial small subunit ribosomal RNA", at positions 524 to 776 of the family's 1533-position model. The record is from RNAcentral.
CACGUAGGGGCCAAGCGUUGUCCGGAAUCACUGGGCGUAAAGGGCGCGUAGGCGGCUUUAUAAGUCGGGGGUGAAAGCCUGUGGCUCAACCACAGAAUUGCCUUCGAUACUGUAGAGCUUGAGACCGGAAGAGGUUAGUGGAACUGCGAGUGUAGAGGUGAAAUUCGUAGAUAUUCGCAAGAACACCGGUGGCGAAGGCGGCCAACUGGACCAUUACUGACGCUGAGGCGCGAAAGCGUGGGGAGCAAACAGG